Molecule: ribosomal RNA, 305 nt
Filed under: uncultured bacterium
Lineage: Bacteria
Description: bacterial SSU rRNA
Rfam family: Bacterial small subunit ribosomal RNA
Source: RNAcentral
UUUCCCUACGGGGGGCAGCAGUGAGGAAUAUUGGUCAAUGGGCGGAAGCCUGAACCAGCCAAGUCGCGUGAGGGAAGAAGGCCCUGCGGGUCGCAGACCUCUUUGGACGGGGAGCAAGGCCGCCGACGUGUCGGCGGAAGGAGAGUACCCGUAGAACAAGCAUCGGCUAACUACGUGCCAGCAGCCGCGGUAAUACGUAGGGGGCAAGCGUUAUCCGGAUUUACUGGGUGUAAAGGGAGCGUAGGCGGUGCAGCAAGUCAGAAGUGAAAGCCCGGGGCUCAACUCCGGGACUGCUUUUGAAACUG